Molecule: ribosomal RNA, 504 nt
Filed under: uncultured bacterium
Lineage: Bacteria
Description: partial 16S ribosomal RNA
Rfam family: Bacterial small subunit ribosomal RNA
Source: RNAcentral
AUUGAACGCUGGCGGCAGGCCUAACACAUGCAAGUCGAACGGCAGCACAGAGAGCUUGCUCUCGGGUGACGAGUGGCGGACGGGUGAGUAAUGUCUGGGAAACUGCCCGAUGGAGGGGGAUAACUACUGGAAACGGUAGCUAAUACCGCAUAACGUCGCAAGACCAAAGUGGGGGACCUUCGGGCCUCACACCAUCGGAUGUGCCCAGAUGGGACUAGCUAGUAGGUGGGGUAAUGGCUAACCUAGGCGACGAUCCCUAGCUGGUCUGAGAGGAUGACCAGCCACACUGGAACUGAGACACGGUCCAGACUCCUACGGGAGGCAGCAGUGGGGAAUAUUGCACAAUGGGCGCAAGCCUGAUGCAGCCAUGCCGCGUGUAUGAAGAAGGCCUUCGGGUUGUAAAGUACUUUCAGCGGGGAGGAAGGCGGUGGAGUUAAUAACUUCACCGAUUGACGUUACCCGCAGAAGAAGCACCGGCUAACUCCGUGCCAGCAGCCGCAGUAA